UGCAGGGCUCACACUACUUCAGAAUUAUAGGGAGAAGUGACUUUUCUUUUUGAAACUGAUAGGGAGAAGUGGUGAGAUUUGAAAGAGAAGUGCUCAUUCGCGGGGUGCGCUACAAUGUUUGGAUUUUACAAUAGUAUAAAGGGCCAUAUGUAAAUAAUGUUCUUUUUAUGUUGUUCAAUUCAUAUGAGUAAAAAAUUACAAUUAAAGUAACAUUUGAAAUUAAAAGUUGUUUAAGUUUUACUAAGGUUCUUGUGAGAAAACUACCAACUAAAUAUCUAGCACUAAAAAAAAUAAUUUUAUUUUGAAAAAUGUAAAGAAAUUAUAUCAAUUACAAUUUAAUUAAAAAUUAUCUUGUGUAUGAAAUUCAGUGUUUCUCAUAAAAAAAAUAUAAAAGUUAUUAAGCUGGGCCAUAAUAUAUUGAUAUUAGUAUAAUAGUCUCAGAGUUAAGCAACUUUAAUCAAUAGUUUGAAACAUUCAUAAAAAAUAUAGGGAAUUAUAUACACCAAUCAAUUAGAUGUAACCAAAAGUCUCUUAAUGCGUGUGGGAUGCGUAAUUUUUCCCUUUGGGAUCAAUAUUCUUCUGUCAGCUGUUCCAUCCGUGCGUCCGUAGUAAUUAUUGUAAAAGUACGGAUUUCGGUCAUAGCUGGUCCGGUUCAGAUCCGUAGUUUAGAAAUCGGUCAAUGGCGGACGAAUGCAAGAAAAUUUACAAAAAUAAACGAUGUUUGACAAGUUAUUUGGAAAGGAACAUGACGGUUUUAAUGCAAUAAAUGGAUUAAACAUUUACUGGAGGCAACUUUUAUCACGUUUAAAUGAAGUAACAAACUUAUUUUGCCGCCGAAAUUUAGGUUGAUGUACGUUUUCGAGUAACAAGCACCGGAACUUGCGAAAAUGCACGAAGUGAUAAAAAGUUGUAUUUUUAUCAAAUAACCUGAUACACACUGCGAAGACAAUGCUUCAACCUCUUUUCUAAAGAAUGAAUAGUUUAUGUCUGAAUUUCUUUAAUUAUCAGUAAAAAAUUGAUGUUUCAUCAACUUGGUAAAAAUUGAAAAUGUCCGAUGACGGAAGCGACUGAAAGCGACUUUCGUCAGGAACAGGGCGACUUGUUUUCGCUUUUGGGGGUCGGGGAAAGCGAAGUGACGGUCGGGAGGGCGACUUCUUCGCCCAAGUCGCCUGGUAGCGUGAGCCCUGUUAAAUCUUGAAUCCACCUAGUGUCUUUGCAAAGGUGGCGUGUUUAAUUAUUUUUCAUUAACACAGAGAGAAUAAAGUGUUACCUAUGGAAUUUACUUUAGGCUGAGGCUGAAUCCUGUUAUCUUAUCUAAAGUAGCAUCACUAUGAUAGGGAUCACAUGUUUCUGUAUUAAUCUCUAUCAG
RNAcentral lists this long non-coding RNA (1369 nucleotides) under Mytilus galloprovincialis (Mediterranean mussel). Lineage: Eukaryota; Metazoa; Mollusca; Bivalvia; Mytilida; Mytilidae. The record is from RNAcentral.